GACGAACGCUGGCGGCGUGCUUAACACAUGCAAGUCGAACGGAAAGGCCCUGCUUUUGUGGGGUGCUCGAUUGGCGAACGGGUGAGUAACACGUGAGUAACCUGCCCUUGACUUUGGGAUAACUUCAGGAAACUGGGGCUAAUACCGGAUAGGAUCUCCUGCUGCAUGUUGGGGGUUGGAAAGUUUCGGCGGUUGGGGAUGGACUCGCGGCUUAUCCGCUUGUUUGUCGGGUAGUUGCUUACCAAGGGUUUGACGGGUAGCCGGCCUGAGAGGGUGAACGGCGACAAGGGGACUGAGGGACGGACCAGAAUCCUACGGGAGGCAGCAGUGGGGAGUAUUACAGAAUGGGGGGAAGCCUGAGACGGAAACGCCGCGAGCGGGAUGACGGCCUACGGGUUAUAAACAGAUUUCGACGGAGACGAAGAGUGAGUGACGGUAAUGGGUAAAGAAGCACCGGCUAACUACGUG
Molecule: ribosomal RNA, 468 nt
Filed under: uncultured bacterium
Lineage: Bacteria
Description: partial 16S ribosomal RNA
Rfam family: Bacterial small subunit ribosomal RNA
Source: RNAcentral